AUCCAGCUUCUGAAACUACUUAAAAAGCUUUCGAUCAAAGAUGUACAGUGGUGCUGACAGAACACAGAAGAGUUUUCGCUGGGGAAAGCCAUCAUUAAUUAUCAGACUGUGUAGAAAUAGAAGGAAACAUGAACAGAAUGGAAGAAGUCAGUGUGAGAAAGCAUCAGCGCCACAGGAGCCUGCUGAGCCUUCUGCCAACACCACUGCUGAGUUGUCUGCAGUUGUCUGGCCCAUCUUGUCUCUUCAAGGCUGCCCUUACCCCUCAGAUUUCCUGCCAUCCCAGCCUGGUGCCUGUCCAUCCAUUCAUCCAUCCAUCCCCACUUUUUUUCUAUAUCUCACUUUCCAAAAUCACGUCACGGUGGGUUUCUGCCAUCCUCCCCAAAAAGGGGAUUUUCAUUUUGAUAAAGGUCUGCACUCAAAGACAAACACCUUGCCACACAAGAAAACAGUGAUACUGCCUUGCCAAGAUGGAAGGAUGGAUUUUGGAGAACCUCACCUCGCUCACACGUCCUGUGCCUGCAUGGGUGCCUGUGGUUUUGCAACCUAGCAGCCGGCAACAGCUGAUAUUUUUAGUGCUGCCAGACACUCGAUACCUGCCAAGGUCACUUGCUGACAAAAGCGAUGAUGAGCCGGCGUGGCAGCAUGUAACAACCCCACCACUUCCCAGCAAUCGGCUUGAACGUGCGUGCUGCCACUUGCCAAGGCGAGACGUGAACAGCGAGGAACGACAGCGGCUGCCGUGCGGGCUGCUGCCUCUGCCCCUCACUCCCUGCUCCGUGCAUGGUGGUGUCACAUCCCAGCAGAUGCUGCCCAAAGAGUGGCAGAAGCUGCAGAACGCUUUGUGCUGAGAGGAAUGGGGUUUGCAGGGAUGCUGCCAGAGCAAUAGCUGCUGUCUCUGUUUGGGACCCAGCAUGAUCCCAUCACUAGUUUCACCGAUGGGGAGACAAAACCUGGACAAGCACACGUGUUGGAAAAAAUGGAAAGCUUGAUUUGUUUUUCUCUAAGCCCUGUGCAAUGAAUGCCACAGAGGGAAAAAAGCAGGAUUGUCAGAGUUGUGAGAGAAAACCAUCUCUCUCUUCUUUUUCCACCAGCCCAGGUGGUUAAAAUGGGUACAGAGGAAGAGAGGGGGGCUUACAUGUAUGUCCUCUGCCCGUGGAUGGCAGCCCGCACUGGUCACAUGCAAGCAGUGGGCUGCACCCACCAGGCUGGCCUGUUGGGUACAGUAAGUCUUGUCUGCUAUUUAUCUCAUUCCCCCCAUGGACAAAUCUCCUGUUGAGCUCUCACUCUGAUGGUUUAGGCAGAUAAAAACCUGUCUGCAAGUUCAGAGCCAGCCCAGAUGAUGCUGGGUGGGAGAUGCGUCCAUGUCUGUGCUCAGCCACUGCAACAAGCAAACUCCAAAUGGAGGUGACAGUUUCAUGGGGAGCAGUGAACUGGUACGACAGCCCUUCUCCACUGCCCAAACAGCACGCUCAUAACAGAUUUUUCACUUCAAGUGCCUUCUACAAGUGUUAAUGAACUAACCCUUAUGAUAGCUCACAGGAGAUGUCUCCAGCAGAGCAGGAUGCAGGCUGAAGAGCCACACACCUCCCUCUGCUUGCGGGCUGGUGUGUGUGGGUGUGUGUCAGUAUGUGCUUGCACACUCAUGUGUUUGUGCACUUGUGCAUGUGGCUCAAAGAGCUGCCAAGAGUUAGUGAAUCACUAUUUGAAACAGUGCAGAUCAGAAGAAGACCACGUUUCUUCCAUCUUUAAAUCAAAUUAGUGGGUAAGAAAGGUAAACCAAGGCAUGGGUUCAUCGCAUUAAGAUCUUAAAGCCUGGAGCGAGCAUCAGAUGAUGAAGGCAGAGCUCGAGUGGCACAUACCAGACAAUUCCAUCCAGUUGCAGAUUAAUGGCUCUGCUAAAUGACUUUAAACCUAAUGACAUGUAACAUGCAAAGAUCAGGCUGCUCAGUAUCGCAAGAAAAAUAGCAAUAAUGAUCGCUUAUACAAAAUAAACCUCCGGAGGAUCAAUGCCA
Molecule: long non-coding RNA, 2012 nt
Filed under: Anas platyrhynchos platyrhynchos (common mallard)
Lineage: Eukaryota; Metazoa; Chordata; Aves; Anseriformes; Anatidae
Description: lncRNA (ENSAPLG00000020493.1)
Source: RNAcentral